CGCCGCCUCCUGCUUGUCCUGCCUCGUCUCAGAGGAGAACAGUCCACGGUCUUCUUCUCUUACUGGACUCCGCCUCAUCACACUCAUUUUUAUUCAUCGAGCGGGUUAGCAGCUUUCAUCCUCUUCAUCAUUUGGUACCCGGGUGGUGGUUUCACAUUGCUACGCAGAGACCGCUCAAGAGAGGGGUGAAGGAAACACCACACACUUAGAUUCAGGCAACGUGACCGCAAGCCACGAGAGAGGAGGCACAGCUACAGGAGCGAGCGAGGCUGAAAAUGACCGGCUGUUGAGACCAGCGCUGCUUUGGGAUUUCAACCUCAAACACAACAGGCACAGCAAGACUUUGUCGUUUGUUGCCAAGUCGCCUUGGCCAGCAGACCAACUGUCCCUUGAUGGAAUAACUUUCAACAGUGAGGAACUAUUCUUUUCUUCUCGGAACAGGAAGCCAGACUUUAGGCCAGACAUGGCUGUCAACCCCCUGAAGGGCACACAAACAUACACACAAACACACACACUUAUACACUUAAUCAUGAAGUAAAAAGCUACAGGGAGCAGCUGUUUGUGCCUUAGAAACACUCACACGUAUUUCCGAGCUGCUUGUUAAUGCAGCAGUAUCACAGUGAGUGUGUGUGUGUGUGCAGGUGAGUAAAGCAGGUGUUUUAUCAGUCAUCAGAUGAACAUGUGCAUCGCAGACAGCUGGCAUUAAGUGGGUGCUGCAGGGGUCUUACCCUGGGAUUACACUUUAGGAGAUUAGAGCUAAACAGCAGUCACCUCAGGCUCUGCAGCCUCAUGAAACUUCUGCCGCAAGCCAAGAGGGCACGCACACCCACACACACACACUGCAGCACAGCUGUAGAACACAAUUAAAUUAGAGCAAACUGGCAGACGGUGUGCAACCCGAGCUUAAAACCAUACACACAUUAAAUCACAGGGAGCGAAAACAAAAAUAAACACACACACACACUCUCCUGCACUGUGGGCCGCAGUACUAGCCCCCACCCUUUCCUCCCAUCGCCCUCCCAAAAGCCAGCUGGAAAGAAGAUGAGAUUUUGGGGCUGAUUGGUUUAGUCUUUUUUCCCUCCCAUCACAUCCUCUGGGCAUCUCUACAACCACCACUGUCGCCUUCUCUGAGCACAGUGUCACCUCUGGAUAAACCAUCAUCAUAAAAAUCUUUCCCAUUGGACAUUGGAGCAAAGAAAGGACUUCUUUGGACUUUUUUUGUGGACGGUGUGUCGGCAGAACGCACAGCUACACACCUGACGUGUGGACGGUCUGAGCUGCACAUCAUCGAAACAGCAUCAGGAGCAUUUGGAUUUUCUUUUCGCUCGUCAUCCCUCUAAGAUUUCAUCCUUUACCCCAAAGAAUUAUAAUUUUCAGUCCCAACUUUUUUGACUUUGUGUCACUGAUAGUGUGGAGAGGGACAGCAACAGUGCAGUGCUUUGAACUUGACACAGCAGCUUUUUAAACCGAGCAGGUCUCAGAGCCUCUGUGAAACACGGAGAGAGGCUGUGUGAGGUAACCCUGGAGAGGAAAAAAAAAACCUGAGAACACCUCACAUAUCUGUGGAAACUUACAGAAAUGGAGAGAAGUGACAAAAUAGGUAUGUUUUGAGUCUAGGGUAUCUAGAGAUGUGAUGGAACACCGGUCAGCGUAGACCACCUCCCUUCUACCGCUCCUCCUCCUCCUCUCUUCUUCUCUCCCUCUCUCUGCUGCUCUCAACUAGUCUGCCAGCUUUCUCUGGCUGCGUCGCUUCAGUGCAGCGAGAGAGACAGAAAGAGAGAGAAAUCGGAAUGCUAGAGUCGAGCGCGACAGAGAGAAACAUGGAGGACCUGCUGCAGCCAUUCACGUUGUGCACUUGGUUUCACUGAAGAUGGACGUUGCAAUUAAUCUGAAAAAAAAGAGAGGGAAAAGAGAGAGAGAGAGUGGGAGCCAGAGAAGAGAAAGUUAGAAAGUGAAGAAGAAGAAAAUAAACACAGGAUUGAAAGGUGGAGAACGCAGAGAGUAAUCACAACUGAAGGAGGGAUCACCUCUCGUUGAGGGUAAAGGACUUCCGUGGCAGUCAGAGUACAGCUGGGUGUAAUUCAGCUUCGACUCGUGUGUGUGUGUGUGUGUGUGUGUGUGUGUGUGUGUGUGUGUGUG
Molecule: non-coding RNA, 2139 nt
Organism: Labrus bergylta (ballan wrasse)
Lineage: Eukaryota; Metazoa; Chordata; Actinopteri; Labriformes; Labridae
Source: RefSeq, a predicted model, not a curated record